CCCAGGGAACUGAAACAUCUAAGUACCUGGAGGAAGAGAAAGAAAAAUCGAUUUUCUUAGUAGCGGCGAGCGAAAGGGAAAGAGCCCAAACCGGAAACUUGUUUCCGGGGUUGUGACAUAACAUAAAGUGGAGGCUAUUGUAACUGAAGAGAACUGGAAAGUUCCACCGUAGAAGGUAAUAGUCCUGUAAGUGAAACGAGAAGACCACGAGUUAUGAUCCAGAGUACCACGAGACACGUGAAACCUUGUGGGAAGCAGGGAGGACCACCUCCCAAGGCUAAAUACUACCUGAUGACCGAUAGUGAAGCAGUACCGUGAGGGAAAGGUGAAAAGAAACCCCGGGAGGGGGAGUGAAAUAGAACCUGAAACCGUGUGCCUACAACCGCUCAGAGCCCCUUAUGAGGGUGAUGAGGUGCUUUUUGUAGAACGAGCCAACGAGUUACGGUAUGUAGCAAGGUUAAGUACUUAAGGUACGGAGCCGAAGGGAAACCGAGUCUGAAUAGGGCGACUAGUUGCAUGCCGUAGACCCGAAACCCGGGUGACCUAUCCAUGGCCAGGUUGAAGCGAGGGUAAAACCUCGUGGAGGACCGAACCACGUUGCUGUUGAAAAAAGCAUGGGAUGAGCUGUGGAUAGCGGAGAAAUUCCAAUCGAACCCGGAGAUAGCUGGUUCUCUCCGAAAUAGCUUUAGGGCUAGCGUCGAGUAUGAGUAGUGGAGGUAGAGCACUGAAUGGGCUAGGGGGCAUAGCGCUUACCGAACCUUAUCAAACUCCGAAUGCCACAUACUUUGAGCUCGGCAGUCAGACUACGAAUGAUAAGAUCCGUGGUCAAAAGGGAAACAGCCCAGAUCGUCAGCUAAGGUCCCAAAGUGUAAGUUAAGUGGGAAAGGAUGUGAGAUUUCUUAAGACAACUAGGAUGUUGGCUUAGAAGCAGCCAUUCAUUAAAAGAGUGCCGUAAUAGCUCACUAGUCGAGAGAUCUUGCGCCGAAAAUGUAACGGGGCUAAACUUACCACCGAAGCUACGGGCUUGAACUUAGUUCAAGCGGUAGGAGAGCGUCGUAACCGGGCUGAAGUCGUACCGUAAGGAGCGGUGGACUGGUUACGAGUGAGAAUGUUGGCAUCAGUAGCGAGAUGUGGGUGAGAAUCCCACAGGCCGAAAACCUAAGGUUUCCUCAGGAAGGUUCGUCCGCUGAGGGUUAGUCGGGACCUAAGCCGAGGCCGAAAGGCGUAGGUGAUGGACAACUGGUUGAUAUUCCAGUACCACUACCAUCGUUAUUAUCGAUGGCGUGACGCAGGAGGAUAGUGUGUGCUAGCUAUUGGAUGCUAGUCUAAGCGUUUAGGCAGUGAGAGUAGGCAAAUCCGCUCUCAUAAUGCUGAGGCGUGAUGGGGAAGGUUCUACGGAACCGAAGUACAUGAUUCCACGCUGCCAAGAAAAGCGUCUAGAGAGAGAAGUAGUGCCCGUACCGCAAACCGACACAGGUAGGUGAGGAGAGAAUCCUAAGGCCGGCGGAAGAAUUACAGUUAAGGAACUCGGCAAAUUGACCCCGUAAGUUCGCGAGAAGGGGUGCCUACGAGAGUAGGCCGCAGAGAAUAGGCCCAAGCAACUGUUUAGCAAAAACACAGGUCUCUGCUAAAGCGUAAGCUGAUGUAUAGGGGCUGACGCCUGCCCGGUGCUGGAAGGUUAAGGGGAACACUUAGCGCAAGCGAAGGUGUGAACUUAAGCCCCAGUAAACGGCGGCCGUAACUAUAACGGUCCUAAGGUAGCGAAAUUCCUUGUCAGGUAAGUUCUGACCCGCACGAAUGGCGUAAUGACUUGGGCACUGUCUCAACUGUAAAUCCGGCGAAGUUGUAGUGCGAGUGAAGAUGCUCGCUACCCGCGAUUGGACGGAAAGACCCCGUAGAGCUUUACUGUAGCUUAGCAUUGAGUUUUGGUAUUGUCUGUACAGGAUAGGUGGGAGACUAGGAAACCAGGGCGUCAGCCUUGGUGGAGUCAACCUUGGGAUACCACCCUGACAGUACUGAAAUUCUAACUGGCGGCCAUGAAUCUGGUCACAGGACAUUGUUAGGUGGGCAGUUUGACUGGGGCGGUCGCCUCCUAAAAAGUAACGGAGGCGCCCAAAGGUUCCCUCAGAACGGUCGGAAAUCGUUCGAAGAGUGCAAAGGCAGAAGGGAGCCUGACUGCGACACCCACAAGUGGAGCAGGGACGAAAGUCGGGCUUAGUGAUCCGGUGGUACCUCGUGGGAGGGCCAUCGCUCAACGGAUAAAAGCUACCUCGGGGAUAACAGGCUGAUCUCCCCCAAGAGUCCACAUCGACGGGGAGGUUUGGCACCUCGAUGUCGGCUCGUCGCAUCCUGGGGCUGAAGUAGGUCCCAAGGGUUGGGCUGUUCGCCCAUUAAAGCGGCACGCGAGCUGGGUUCAGAACGUCGUGAGACAGUUCGGUCCCUAUCCGUCGCGGGCGUAGGAAAUUUGAGAGGAGCUGUCCUUAGUACGAGAGGACCGGGAUGGACUGACCUCUGGUGUACCAGUUGUUCCGCCAGGAGCACAGCUGGGUAGCUAAGUCGGGAAUGGAUAAACGCUGAAAGCAUCUAAGCGUGAAGCCAACCUCAAGAUGAGAUUUCCCAUAGCGUAAGCUAGUAAGAUCCCUUGAAGAACACAAGGUUGAUAGGUCGGGGGUGUAAGCAUGGUAACAUGUUCAGCUGACCGAUACUAAUAGAUCGAGGGCUUGACCAA
RNAcentral lists this ribosomal RNA (2728 nucleotides) under Clostridium perfringens. RNAcentral's name for it is "bacterial LSU rRNA". It matches the Rfam family "Bacterial large subunit ribosomal RNA". Lineage: Bacteria; Bacillati; Bacillota; Clostridia; Eubacteriales; Clostridiaceae. The record is from RNAcentral.